CGGUUCGAGUAAGUGAUAUUUCGGAACAGAAUCUAGUUCCUUCGAUACCAAUGUAAUCUAGUAAUAUGAAUUUUUUUUAUGAUUUUUAUUUAGAAUACAUUGGUAUUGAAGGAACUAGAUUCUGUUCCGAAAUAUCACUUACUCGAACC
Molecule: non-coding RNA, 149 nt
Organism: Paramuricea clavata
Lineage: Eukaryota; Metazoa; Cnidaria; Anthozoa; Malacalcyonacea; Plexauridae
Source: the annotation of a GenBank genome assembly